UGAGUGCGAGCUGCUACGGCAGCGAAGUUGGUGAUGUCAUGCUUCCAAGAAAAGCCCUAUACCCGUUAAGGCAUCAUGGCCUGUACCCGAAACCGACACAGGUGGGGUGGUAGAGAAUACCGAGGGGCGCGAGGUAACUCUCUCUAAGGAACUCGGCAAAAUGGCCCCGUAACUUCGGGAGAAGGGGUGCCACCGCAAGGUGGUCGCAGUGAAGAGGCCCAGGCGACUGUUUACCAAAAACACAGGUCUCCGCUAAGUCGCAAGACGAUGUAUGGGGGCUGACGCCUGCCCAGUGCCGGAAGGUUAAGGAAGCUGGUCAGCGCAAGCGAAGCUAGCGACUGAAGCCCCGGUGAACGGCGGCCGUAACAAUAACGGUCCUAAGGUAGCGAAAUUCCUUGUCGGGUAAGUUCCGACCCGCACGAAAGGCGUAACGAUCUGGGCGCUGUCUCGGAGAGAGGCUCGGCGAAAUAGAAUUGUCUGUGAAGAUGCGGACUACGUGCACCCGGACAGAAAGACCCUAUGAAGCUUUACUGUAGCUUGGUAUUGUGCUCGGGCUCGCAAUGCGCAGGAUAGGUGGGAGGCUUUGAUCAUCGGCUUGCGGGUCGAUGUGAGCCAACGGUGAGAUACCACUCUUUGCGAGCUAGGGUUCUAACGGCCACCCGUCAUCCGGGGGCCGGACAGUACCUGGUGGGCAGUUUGACUGGGGCGGUCGCCUCCUAAAAGGUAACGGAGGCGCGCAAAGGUUUGCUCAGGCUGGUUGGAAAUCAGCCGACGAGUGUAAAAGCAGAAGCAAGCUUGACUGUGAGACCAACAAGUCGAACAGGGAGGAAACUCGGCUUUAGUGAUCCGACGGUUCUGAGUGGAAGGGCCGUCGCUCAACGGAUAAAAGUUACUCUAGGGAUAACAGGCUGAUCUCCCCCAAGAGUUCACAUCGACGGGGAGGUUUGGCACCUCGAUGUCGGCUCAUCGCAACCUGGGGCUGAAGUCGGUCCCAAGGGUUGGGCUGUUCGCCCAUUAAAGCGGUACGCGAGCUGGGUUCAGAACGUCGUGAGACAGUUCGGUCCAUAUCCGGUGCACGCGCAGGAAUAUUGAGAGGAUUUCUCCCUAGUACGAGAGGACCGGGAGGAACGCACCUCUGGUGUACCAGUUAUCGUGCCAACGGUAAACGCUGGGUAGCCAUGUGCGGAGUGGAUAACCGCUGAAAGCAUCUAAGUGGGAAGCCCACCUCAAGAUGAGUAUUCCCAUGGCGUAAGCCAGUAAGGUCACGGGAAGAACAUCCGUUGAUAGGCUCUAUGUGGAAGCGCAGUAAUGCGUGAAGCAGAGGAGUACUAAUAGACCGAGGGCUUGACC
Molecule: ribosomal RNA, 1350 nt
Filed under: metagenome
Description: bacterial LSU rRNA
Rfam family: Bacterial large subunit ribosomal RNA
Source: RNAcentral